This 1003-nucleotide long non-coding RNA is filed under the name Ananas comosus (pineapple). RNAcentral describes it as "long non-coding RNA (ACOM_LNC010478)". Lineage: Eukaryota; Viridiplantae; Streptophyta; Magnoliopsida; Poales; Bromeliaceae. The record is from RNAcentral.
UUUAAGUUGGAGUAAAGAAAAAAGAUUUAAUUAUAACUCAUUUUAUUAAUCUAGUUUUGUAAAAUAAUUUUUAUAUUUAAAUUUACAAAUCAAGCAACUGAUAAAAUUUUAUUUUUUAAAGAUGUCACUUUUGGUGCUUCCAUUUCGAUCGAUCCAAUCUGUUAUAUCAAAACAAACACUUAGGCUGCGUUUGGUUUGGGUAUAAGUAAGAACUGCUAGUUCCAGGAAUAGGUACAAGUUCAGGUAUUAGCAGGAACUAGACCAAUUUUACGUUUGGAUGAAAAUUGGGUUGUUCCUAGGAAUAAGAUAAAUAGUAUUUGGAUGGUUAGAUUGGAACAAGAGGAAUAAGAAUUAUAAUUUGAAAUUAGAAUUAUAUUAUGUAAUUAAUUAACACCAAAAUAUUAUUUAAAAAUAAAUAAUAAAUUAAUUAUUAAUAAUUAAUUAUAAAUAAUAAUAAUUAUUAGUAAUUAAUUAUAAAUAAUAAAUUAAAAAUAUCGAUUAUCUAAUAAUAAUAAUAAUAAUAAUAAUAAUUAAUUAUUUAUAAAUAAUAAUAAUUAUUAAUUAUUCUUAUUAAUUAAUUAUAAAUAAUAAAUUAAUAAUAAUAUUGAUUAUCUAAUUAUUAAUAAUAAUUAAUAUUAAUAUUUAUUAAUAAAUAAUAAUAAUUAUUANUAUAAAUAAUAAAUUAAUAAUAAUUAUCUAAUUAUUAACAAUUAAUUAUAAGUAAUAAAUUAAUAAUAAUAAUUAUCUAAUUAUUAAUAAUUAAUUAUAAAUAAUAAAUAAAUUAAUUAUUUAAUUAUUAAAAUAAUAAAUAAUGAUUUAAAUAUAUUAAUUAGAUUAAUUAAUAAUUUACUACCUUUAAAAUUAAAUUUAGAUUUUAAUUAACCUAGUUCUCAUCAAGGAACAAGCUAGUUCCAGAAAACGGAUAGAACAUCAGUUUCAACCUUAUACCAAUUUGUUUCAGAAAUUUGAAAAUUACUGUUCACAAAAAUCGAACGUACUGUUU